GGCAAUGAAGAGGGAGUAUGAAGAAUUUAAAAUACGAAUCAAUGCUCUUGUUGCAAAAGCGCAAAAAAUGCCUGAAGAAGGUUGGACAAUGCAAGAUGGAACAGCUUGGCCUGGAAAUAACCCUAGGGAUCAUCCAGGAAUGAUCCAGGUCUUUUUGGGGCACAGCGGGGGCCUUGAUACUGAUGGAAAUGAACUUCCUCGUCUGGUGUAUGUUUCUCGUGAGAAGCGACCAGGUUUUCAACACCACAAGAAAGCUGGAGCUAUGAAUG
Molecule: unclassified non-coding RNA, 269 nt
Filed under: Hevea brasiliensis (rubber tree)
Lineage: Eukaryota; Viridiplantae; Streptophyta; Magnoliopsida; Malpighiales; Euphorbiaceae
Source: RNAcentral